RNAcentral lists this ribosomal RNA (253 nucleotides) under uncultured bacterium. RNAcentral's name for it is "partial 16S ribosomal RNA". It matches the Rfam family "Bacterial small subunit ribosomal RNA", at positions 524 to 776 of the family's 1533-position model. The record is from RNAcentral.
UACAGAGGGUGCAAGCGUUGUUCGGAAUUAUUGGGCGUAAAGGGCUCGUAGGCGGUCUGUCGCGUCGGGAGUGAAAACUCAGGGCUUAACCCUGAGCCUGCUUCCGAUACGGGCAGACUAGAGGUAUGCAGGGGAGAACGGAAUUCCUGGUGUAGCGGUGGAAUGCGCAGAUAUCAGGAGGAACACCGGUGGCGAAGGCGGUUCUCUGGGCAUUAACUGACGCUGAGGAGCGAAAGCGUGGGGAGCGAACGGG